UUUUUUCAAGAUUUAAUGGAGCUACAUUUUUAGUAGUAAACGACAUGCCACGUGCUGUACCCCUCCAGGCCUCCACACUCCAGCGAGGAGGUUGACGACGACGAGCAAGUGGGGUGGUGGCCAUUGGCCUCUCUCUCUCUCUCUCCGUGUCUCCGGCUAGAUCUCCGCACUGGAUGCUGUCCUACUGCUGUUAGCAUGUUUUGUUACACUUUUGUCGUGGCGCGGGAGCCUGAGCGCGGAGCACGGGGAUCCAAUUACGACGGAGGUGAGGUGACGACGACAUCAUCCGCCAUCGCCGGAUUCCUCUUCUUCCUCCAAUCCUCCCCCACGCGGAACGCGUUCCCUGGACUGGAGGAGCGACGGGACGAUCCGAGUCACGAGUCCACGGAAUGGAAGCAACAAGCAACAGACUAAUGACAUCAUUUCUUUACUUGUGGUACGUCGAUCGAAUCCUUGCUUCCUUCAUCAACGCGUACUGUGUACUGUUCCAGCAGCUGGAGCUAGCUAGCUAGGAUGAGCGCCGUGUAUGAUGAUGAACAUUGAAAAAACCAUCAUCCUCCCCCAGUUCCAGCUAGAUUGAUCUCAUCUGAUCCGACCUGAUCCUCCGUUCGUGUAGAGACUGGGCCCCACGCCGAGAUUUUUUUGUAUAAAAAAACUAAUUGACUCCAUUAUCUACUGGCUUGCUUCUCUCUCUCAAGCAUCAGGAUAUAUAUGUCGCUUGAUGCUACAUUAGGAUUAUUUUGUCUAUAUAUAUAGGAUUUGCUAGAGUAAAUAAAUAAAAUUAUAAAAAACAAAGACGCAUGAGUCGCAUGGAGCAUUCUGCCACCGUGUUACUUUUUAUACAUGUGGUGUAUAUACCUGCGUGCAUGACCUCACUUAUACAGUAAUCAAGCCCUGUUCUUGAUCCGAAAAUCUCUCGCCAAGAAAGUCAAUUUGGCUGUCCAAAGGCGGCGGCUUCAUCCAGCUCUGCCACUGGAAGAAGCUAGCACAGCCGAGCAUGCCCAAAAAGAACUAAAAUAGAAUCAACAUUCUAAGUACAUCUGUCCCCAAGAUCAGCUAACGCAUGAGUUACUUUGUCACUUUCUCAUGGUUUGUAUUUCACCGUGUAAGCUACAAACUCCGAUGCUAACAACAUUUUUCCUUUCCAAACCAGACCGCCUGAACCAGAUAGAUCAAAUGUUGUGAAGUCAGGGACUCUUUAAUUUCACCAUCAGCACUGGAUGGUUUUGCUAUAUAUCUUGAUAUAUAUGGUAUGUCUACAUUCGUAGCUUUUACUAGAUAUAUAGUAUAUCUAAAAAAUUCAAAACAACUUAUAUUUUGGAAUGGGUGGAGUCACAUUAAUAAAACAAACAAAUUCACCGUGAAAUAUAUUUUCCCUCACGAGCUUAAUAUAUAAAACAUAGAUGGUCAACAAAAUGGAAGAUGAAGCUUAAUAUAUCUAGAGCUCAUCUGGUAGACUCUGGCGAGGAACACAAAAAUCCUCUACUACAUAAUUCAGGGAUCCAGACAAGGAAAAAAAGUUUCUAACAUUCUACUACCUAAUUCCAUAAACCAAAAAAAAAAUCAAUUCUAGCAAAGGAAUGAAAAUUAGUUUCUCUCUUCCGUACGUACCAUCCGGUUCGAUGGAAUGGAACAAAAUGAUUCCCUCUCUCUUAUAGCAAUCUGAAGCUUCACUUCCAUUUGACAUUUUCUUGCGUUCUUUCUGCAAUAUUCCUCUUGUAUUCCUCGUCACCUUCUCGUCUUCAUCUUUGCAGGAAAAGAAAAGUAAGAACAGGAAAACAUAAAUGAGUUCAAAUUGGCAAACAGAUCCUUUCAGACUACAACGUCUGCAUGACUAUUAUAUCUGGUCUAAGUACAUUCUUAGCGGCCAGGGGCAAAACAGAACAUGUUGAAAGCUGAAAUGUGCAUGAUCAAAACAAUGAAGCUAUAUAUAUGUACGUACCUGCGGACUUCAGAACAAGUGCGCAUAAAAAGAAUAUGGCUCCUUGGUGUAGUCCAUAUAGCCCUUUAACCCAUCUUCUGGUGCUUCCAUGGCAAACACCUUCAUGCGCUGGACAUGCUGGACCUUCCCCCAUUCAGGGGUGUCAUACUGCAAUGAUAUCAGCUUGAACAGGCUGGGCCUGCAAUGUACAUUCAAUUUGCUUAGCUCUGCCUCUUGCAAGUAUGUUGGCAGCGUCUCAGUGCACAAAUCCAUCCACGCAGCUGUUCUGAGUGACGGCAGAUUCUCUAGUAGCUUCAGCAUUGGGCAACUGCAGAUGGUGAUCUUGUGCAGCCUUGGGCAGCUGCUGACACUCUCUAGCAUUGGGUUGUCCCAUAACUUGAGCUCAGUGAGGGAAGGGAAGCUCUCUACGGUGACCAGGUUCAGCACAUUUCUUAGGUCCAAGAGCGUCAGCUGAGUUGCAUGGCGUGAGAGUCCAGGAGGAAGACGAUGCAGUUUGCAGCCAUCGAUCGUAAGCCCCUCCAGAGCAGGCAUUGCCGGUAUCUGCUGCUCCCAGUCCCACUCUGUCCAUCCUGACAUGCCCUCGAAACCCAGUGCAGUCAGCUUGGGAAAUGCAAAGCCAGUACCACGAGAGAUAAGACUAGCAGGCAACUGCCUACUCAUGAUCAAGUCUGUCACUACUCCUGCUGCUGCAUUGUCCUGGCCAUCGAUUGAGGGAGUGAGGACGAAACCAUGCCCAAUACAUUGGAUGGCCGGAGCUUGAUCGACCCAGAGGUAGUCCAAGAAGGGGAGCUGGCCCAGUCCAUAUGGCAGCUCGUCGCAACACAAGUAGCCCUCCAGGACCAACCGCCUUAAGCCACGGAAUAAGGCUGGCAUCAUCCAGGCCCACUGUGGUAAGCCCAACCCAUAGUAACCUUUGAUGACAAGUUCUUCUAUGCAGGUAGGAGGACAUAGGUUACCCAACACUUGCUCAGCUCGGUCUUGCUCCUCCCUGCUGAUGUUGCCUCGUUUGAGCUCUCCGUUGUCUCCGAGCUGACUUGCAAAUCUCAUGUUCAGCUCUUCUAGGUGCUCUUUGUUGCAAAGCUUUGCUCUAGCAGCCACUGAACCUGAAGGUGCCUUCUCCAAACCUAUUAUAUCUAGGAAUCUGAGCUUUGUCAGAGGCCCUAACUCUUCCAAGCUACACCAACCUUCUGCGCCAUCAUCCGAAUGGGUUGGAAAGCCCGCCAUUAUGACCAGAUCUCUCAGCUUUCCAAAACCACGAGGAACUGAGCUUAUCUUGGUGCCUCUAAUGUGGAGUAGCCUUAGCUUCCGUAGCUUCAAGAUGCUAUCAGGAAGCCGUGAGAUGUUGCUACACAUCACAAACUCAAUGCCUUGCAAAAACUGAAGAUCUCCUAUGACUUCAGGGAUCGUGGAAAUGCUUGUAGCGCGAAGGCUCAAGCGUCUCAAAUGUUUGAGGUGGCUUAUGGAGUCUGGCAGCUCAUCAAGAUUUACAUUAUCUAGAUACAAUACUCUUAGGCAUGAUGAAAGGUUGCUCCAUAACUCCUUUGAAUUAACCACAGUGCUUCCGAAUAACAUCAGUGUUCUAAGGGAUACCUGUUUUCGCAGAAUGCCGGGCUCUACCACCUUGUUUGAAAUAGAUAGGCGACGGAUCUUUGGAGCAGCAGCAAGAGCGAUAUUGGCAUCCUGGCCCUCACCAACAAGGACCCCUUCAUGUUUUGUUAUGUACUGGGCAAAGGAGCGGAUGACAUCAUGCAUGGUGCAUGCUGACUGACCGUAGGCCCCUUUCUUCGGUUCUAAGAGGUUCCUUGAGACCAACUCUCUGUAGUGCUUUAGCCCCACAUCUUCAAAUAGCUCUGAUGACGCUGUCGUUUUGUUGUUCACGUAUUCUUCUGAGAUCCAGAGAUUGACUAUAUCUUCGCGUCUGAUCGGUUCAUUUGUAGGGAAAAGUGAGCAGUAUACAAAGCAUUGUUUCAAGUCUGGAGGCAAGUCCGCAUAACUCAAGUAGACAGCCUUGUUGAUAUCAUCGUCGAUUCCUGAUAUCGACCAUGCGAAGUGGUCACGGACAUGCUCCCAAGCAUCUCUUGUUUUUCUGAUGUGGAACAAGUGCCCUCCAAGCACCUUAAUUGCCAGCGGCAAUCCCUGGCAUUUUUCCACAAUCAUCAUCCCAACAUCCUUUAAUAAUCCAUCAACCUCAACUUCAUCAAUUUCAUCAGACACUACCUGUCAUAAAAAUGUGUCAUGUUAGAGGAUGCAACAGAGGAGAGUGCCUAGGAAUAUAAAGAGUUUUUAGUUUGUCCCAAAUUAAACUAUUUUAAGUUUAACCAAACCUUUCAAAGAAUAAUACUUUUUACAGUACCAAAUGAGUAUAAGUACAUCUACAAAGAAAUUUUAUAUUGGAUGUCAAAAUAAUAAAUACUAUAUUGGCCGGUUCACGCCACAAAGACCAAAAUUUGGUAGAUAUCAUUAUAAAAUUACAGUUAAUUGUGAGACAUGAUAAAAAUAUUUUAUUCACUUUUUAAAUCCAUGGAGAGAAAAAUGGUAGUAAAUGUUAUUUUUUUGCCCUAUGAGAAAAACAAACCCAACUUUCCAACGGUGCCUUAUAUCUGUUCAGGUUCACAAAGCCGUUCUUCAGCUUCUCCUACCAAACAACUAUUUUGUAACAACUUCUCCCUAGAAGUCACCAAAACCAUACUCCCACAUGCUCAUGAACGCUGGUGAAGCUAAAUAUACUAGCUUCUCCUAGCUCCCUCUCUGCUAUCUUUCAUGAGAAACUGUUUUACCAAACAUUUUUCAAAAACAGCUUCAACUUCAAGUGAAGCUGCUCAUAGAACCGAAGAAAAAAAUUAUUUCAGUAGUGAAACUGAGUUAUACCAAACAGCUCUUCUUAAUCUCAAAUCACUACAAUAUACGAUAGUGCAACUGAAUUUAUUUUUUAUAGGAAAAAUAAAUAGGUAAAAAUUACUGACCUGCUUUUUUAGUAGGACCCAAGCAUCAUCGCCUUCUAGCUUGCCAACUCGGUGGAGAUGGCGCGCAUUCAUUUUGCGAGCGACGACUUCAUUUCUAGUGGUCACCAACACUCGACUCCCCGGUGCAGCAGCGUCUGCAAGCGGUGCUCUAAGAAGGCCACUCCACACGUCCUCGCUCCACACAUCAUCCAUCACCACUAGCAGCUUUUUUCGCCGCGCCGCCUGCUUCAGAGCACAUUCCAGCAGGGCCCUGCUGUCACUCGCGGCGCUGCCACCACCGCCAUAGCUGCCGCCAUGAAGUGCGGCAACGACGUUCCGUAGGACACUAAGAUGGUCAACUCCCUUGUUGAUGCUCAGCCAUAUCCGCUCAUCAAAGCUCUGCUCCACCUUGCCGUCGUUGAACACCAUCCUGGCAAGGGUGGUCUUGCCGAUGCCGCCGGCACCUGUGAUAACAGCGGAGACAGUGACAUUGCCGCUGCUGGUUCUGUGGGCAUCAGUGUCCACCUCCUGCAGAAGCAGGGCGAUGAGGUCCCGCGCGUCUUUCUCGACCUUGUCGCCCACGACACCAGAUCGGACGAUGCUGUCCGACGAGCCCAACAAAGAGCUUGCAGCAGCUCUGUUGGUGGAGUGAAGAAUGGAAGAGUGGAGCUCCCGGACGAUGAACCCAAAGCGGGAGCUCCUAUCCGCGAUGUCGCGCAGCCGUUUGUUGAGCGCCUUGAUCUUCCUCCCGAUCUCAUGUGCGGCGACGGGGCUGUGGAAGCAAAAGAUGUUGAAGCACCUUGAAGAAGCAGUUCUGCUUGGAGCUGCUAUGGGAUCCUCCUCUCCACCACCAGGACCCUCCAUGAUCUGGCAGAGGUCGAGGAUGUCGUCGACGUCGUACAUGGCAUCCUUGAGCUCCCUGACCCACCUCUCCACAGCAUUGCUUCGGAUGCGUGCCAUCUCAGCAUCCUCCAUUAUGGCACUCAGGUCGCCGAGCAUCGUUUCGAGCUUGGUGAUCUCGCCAGGGAUGCCGAGGAGCAUCUCCACCUCCUCCUUCGCUAUGCCCAUCAGGAUGCCGGCCAGCUUGGCCGCGAAUGCACCCAGCACCACCGCCAUGGUCAGGAGGAAGUGGUAGCUUGUUACCUAGCUAGCAGCAGCGAAACAAGAGGAGGAACAGGUUUGUGCUCCAGCUCCAGCUCCAGCUGACCAGCUCCACUCUCUGCUGACUUGGGAGGGAGACGACGUUCUAUAUACAAGCAAGAGUGGACUGCUGGAUGCAAGAUUACAAUACGGACACAUACAUGAGACCGUGAGAGUGAUGUUCAACGCAUAGGGCCACGCAACAGCCAUGUUUAUCGGCCUGUAGUCAGAACGUAAAGAUCGAGGAAGUCUUUCUACUCAUCACCCCGGAAGGGCGGAAGAGCACGUGGACUGCCAGUGCUCUCCUCUCUAGCGAUGUCAACGGGAAAUUUCCCGUAAGGGAACACCACCCCAUCCCCGUCCCCGAGGAUUCUAUACGGGUCCCCGUCCCCGACGAAGGCAUGGGGUAUGCUCAACUGAAGGAGGAAGCCGGCGGCCAAAGAAAAACGAAUAUAUAAAAAAAAAAACUAGAUCGGAGGUUGUAGCGGGACCACAGGAGUAUCACCUUCUCUGUGUAGGGAAUCAGCUCGCCGGAAGCUCAUUGGCUCGGUGGCGUUGAGGAUCCCCGAGCACCCACCGGCGGGCGGCGGCCGACCAAUCCUGCAUCUGCAUCCAACUGGCGGACGUCGGUGCUUGGAUGGGAGAUAGUGUAGGGGCGGGCGACGGCAGUUGGGUCAUGGGUGAGAGAUGGGAGGGUCGGCGGCCGGCGGUCGCGCUUGAGCAGCCGGGAUCUGGCAGAGGGUGGCGCUUGGGAACGGGACUGCGAAGUGACGGAGAGAUGACCAGUGGAGAUUUUUUAGAUGAGACGGAAUGGACGGAUGGAUGGAGUUCUACCUCAAAUUCACGGUCUCAAAUUGACGGUUAGAUACAUCGAUGAACUUCUUCUCUCUAGUUCCUUUCUAUUUUCUCGAACCAUACAUGAGAUGGAAUGAUACUUAAUUAGCUGGGUAAAUUUGACCCGUCUCCUAGGGAAAUUUCUUAGGAUAAGGUCUUGUUUAGUUCCAAAUUUUUUUGCAAAAUAGGAAUAGUAACACUUUCGUUUGUAUUUGACAAAUAUUGUCCAAUCAUAAACUAACUAGAUUCAAAAGAUUCGUCUCGUCAAUUCCGACCAAACUGUGCAAUUAAUUUUUAUUUUCAUCUAUAUUUAAUACUCCAUGCAUGCGUCUAAAGAUUUGAUGUGACGGGAAAUUUGAAAAAUUUUGCAAUUUUUUUUUUAACUAAACAAGGCCUACAUUGUUACAAUCUUUGGCCCCAUAUUUCGUCUCAUGUAAUGCCAUGUAAAUUUUUUGUCGAUACAGAGAAAAGAGAUAAGAGAAGAGCACGAAGCAACACCUCGUAAAGCUAAUAGGAAUAUGAGACAAGUAUUGUACUAUUGUUUAUGUGUAAAUUAAAGAAUUAUGAGUUACCAUGAGACAAUUUAAAGACAAC
This 7452-nucleotide long non-coding RNA is filed under the name Sorghum bicolor (sorghum). RNAcentral describes it as "long non-coding RNA (SBIC_LNC000035)". The record is from RNAcentral. Lineage: Eukaryota; Viridiplantae; Streptophyta; Magnoliopsida; Poales; Poaceae.